UACAGAGGUGCCAAGCGUUAGGCGGAACCACUGGGCUUAAAGCGCGUGUAGGUGGACGGGUAAGUAUCUUGUGAAAUCCCACGGCUCAACCGUGGAACUGCUGGAUAUACUGCUUGUCUUGAGGCACUUAGGGGCAGCUGGAACAAAUGGUGGAGCGGUGAAAUGCGUAGAUAUCAUUUGGAACGCCAAAGGCGAAAGCAGGCUGCUGGGAGUGAUCUGACACUGAGACGCGAAAGCCAGGGGAGCAAACGGG
RNAcentral lists this ribosomal RNA (253 nucleotides) under uncultured bacterium. RNAcentral describes it as "partial 16S ribosomal RNA". It matches the Rfam family "Bacterial small subunit ribosomal RNA", at positions 524 to 776 of the family's 1533-position model. The record is from RNAcentral.